RNAcentral lists this long non-coding RNA (245 nucleotides) under Solanum tuberosum (potato). RNAcentral describes it as "long non-coding RNA (STUB_LNC008425)". Lineage: Eukaryota; Viridiplantae; Streptophyta; Magnoliopsida; Solanales; Solanaceae. The record is from RNAcentral.
UAAAUACUAUUCAUACAAUUAAUAAAUCAGUUAAUAGUAAAAGACUAUAUACAUUUAACCGUAUGUCAUUAGUAUAUGAAUAACUUGGAUGUUUAGGCUUCUCCUUAUAGUUCGUGAAACAUGUAUUUUGAAUUCUCAUAGACUUAAUAAUGUGUAUUUACUAUUUCUUGAACUUUGUAUCACUUCUUUAAUACUCCCUAUGUUCCUAUUUACGUAUCCACUUUUGAAUUGACACACCUAUUAAG